GGUAGGAAGAAGAUUCUAAGGCCAACGGGAGAAGGGUUGUUAAGGAACUCGGCAAGUUGACCCCGUAACUUCGGAAUAAGGGGAGCCUCGAAAGAGGCCGCAGUGAAAAGGCCCAAGCAACUGUUUACCAAAAACACAGGUCUAUGCUAAAUCGAAAGAUGACGUAUAUGGGCUGACGCCUGCCCGGUGCUGGAAGGUUAAGAGGAGAGCUUAGCGCAAGCGAAGGUUUGAAUUGAAGCCCCAGUAAACGGCGGCCGUAACUAUAACGGUCCUAAGGUAGCGAAAUUCCUUGUCGGGUAAGUUCCGACCUGCACGAAUGGCGUAACGAUCUCCACACUGUCUCGGCCAGAGACUCGGUGAAAUUGAAGUCGCGGUGAAAAUGCCGUGUACCCGCAGAAAGACGGAAAGACCCUGUGCACCUUUACUAUAGCUUGACAUUGGGAUUUGAGCCUGCAUGUGUAGCAUAGGUGGGAGGCUGUGAACUCUGUACGCCAGUAUGGAGGGAGCCAUCGUUGAAAUACCACCCUUGUUUGUUCAGGUCCCUAACUCCUUGCCGUGAUCCGGUAGGAGGACAGUGUCUGGUGGGUAGUUUGACUGGGGCGGUCGCCUCCCAAAAUGUAACGGAGGCAUGCAAAGGUUCCCUCAGGCUGAUUGGAAACCAGCCGUCGAGUGCAAACGCAAAAGGGAGCUUGACUGCAAGAGAGACAUCUCGAGCAGGUACGAAAGUAGGUGUUAGUGAUCCGGUGAUCCCGAAUGGAAGGGUCAUCGCUCAUUGGAUAAAAGGUACGCCGGGGAUAACAGGCUGAUCGCAUCCAAGAGUUCACAUCGACGAUGCGGUUUGGCACCUCGAUGUCGGCUCAUCACAUCCUGGGGCUGAAGCAGGUCCCAAGGGUACGGCUGUUCGCCGUUUAAAGUGGUACGCGAGCUGGGUUUAAAACGUCGUGAGACAGUUUGGUCCCUAUCUUCUGUGGGCGUAGGAGAAUUGAAAGGGCCUGUCCCUAGUACGAGAGGACCGGGAUGGACACACCACUGGUGGACCUGUUGUCGUGCCAACGGCACAGCAGGGUAGCUAUGUGUGGAAGGGAUAACCGCUGAAAGCAUCUAAGCGGGAAGCCUGCCUUAAGAUAAGUUCUCCCUGACGCAAGUCCUGAAGGGCCGAGGUAGACGACCUCGUUGAUAGGCUGGAGGUGGAAGCCCUGUGAGGGGUGGAGCUGACCAGUACUAAUAGCCCGUGCGUCUUGUUUCU
RNAcentral lists this ribosomal RNA (1246 nucleotides) under human gut metagenome. RNAcentral describes it as "bacterial LSU rRNA". It matches the Rfam family "Bacterial large subunit ribosomal RNA", at positions 1666 to 2925 of the family's 2925-position model. The record is from RNAcentral.